GGAGGCAGCAGGGAAUCUUGGGCAAUGGGCGAAAGCCUGACCCAGCGACGUCGCGUGGGGGACGAAGGCCUUAGGGUUGUAAACCCCUUUUCCGAGGGAAGAUACAGGACGGUACCUCGGGAAUAAGCCCCGGCUAACUACGUGCCAGCAGCCGCGGUAAUACGUAGGGGGCGAGCGUUACCCGGAAUCACUGGGCGUAAAGUGCGCGUAGGCGGUUGGAUAAGUCUCUUGUGAAAGCUCCCGGCUCAACUGGGAGAGGUCAAGGGAUACUAUUCGACUUGAGGACAACAGAGGUAAGCAGAAUUCCCGGUGUAGCGGUGGAAUGCGUAGAUAUCGGGAGGAACACCAGUGGCGAAAGCGGCUUACUGGGUUGUAACUGACGCUGAGGCGCGAGAGCGUGGGGAGCAAACUSGAUUAGAUACCCACGGUAGUCCACGCCCUAAACGAUGGAUACUAGGUAUGGGGGGUAUUGACCCCCUCCGUGCCGUAGCUAACGCGUUAAGUAUCCCGCCUG
This 514-nucleotide ribosomal RNA is filed under the name uncultured Chloroflexota bacterium. RNAcentral describes it as "bacterial SSU rRNA". It matches the Rfam family "Bacterial small subunit ribosomal RNA", at positions 344 to 875 of the family's 1533-position model. Lineage: Bacteria; Bacillati; Chloroflexota. The record is from RNAcentral.